CUGAGUUUGAUCCUGGCUCAGGACGAACGCUGGCGGCGUGCUUAACACAUGCAAGUCGAACGAUGAAGCCUUUCGGGGUGGAUUAGUGGCGAACGGGUGAGUAACACGUGGGCAAUCUGCCCUGCACUCUGGGACAAGCCCUGGAAACGGGGUCUAAUACCGGAUACCACCUGAAGGGGCAUCUCUUCGGGUUGAAAGCUCCGGCGGUGCAGGAUGAGCCCGCGGCCUAUCAGCUUGUUGGUGGGGUGAUGGCCUACCAAGGCGACGACGGGUAGCCGGCCUGAGAGGGCGACCGGCCACACUGGGACUGAGACACGGCCCAGACUCCUACGGGAGGCAGCAGUGGGGAAUAUUGCACAAUGGGCGAAAGCCUGAUGCAGCGACGCCGCGUGAGGGAUGACGGCCUUCGGGUUGUAAACCUCUUUCAGCAGGGAAGAAGCGAAAUGACGGUACCUGCAGAAGAAGCGCCGG
This 471-nucleotide ribosomal RNA is filed under the name Streptomyces sp. dtb1. Its description in RNAcentral is "bacterial SSU rRNA". It matches the Rfam family "Bacterial small subunit ribosomal RNA", at positions 1 to 496 of the family's 1533-position model. Lineage: Bacteria; Bacillati; Actinomycetota; Actinomycetes; Kitasatosporales; Streptomycetaceae. The record is from RNAcentral.